AAAGAGACAUACCUCAAUGCAAAUUGCUUAUACAAGCAAAGCAAAGCAAAAAGUUCACAAGGAACUAAGCAACUAAAGCACCUGAAACAGUCAAACAGAUGUUAGUAUGCAACUUCAAACAAAACAAACAGAAACAGACACCAACAGUCAAUUAGAGGCACAUGGAUGUGCAAGGCACAAGGCUUAAGGCAUGUGAGCC
This 199-nucleotide long non-coding RNA is filed under the name Lathyrus oleraceus (garden pea). RNAcentral's name for it is "Pisum sativum (pea) long non-coding RNA (PSAT_LNC003855)". The record is from RNAcentral. Lineage: Eukaryota; Viridiplantae; Streptophyta; Magnoliopsida; Fabales; Fabaceae.